AGACAUCCAUUUGAAAAGAUCAUGAGAGAUUAUCAUGAAAAGAAAACGGUUAUAGCAUCAUUGCCACACAAAUGACUUGAGAAGAAACUGAUUAUGAGAGAUGAUCAUCAAAAAAUUAAAAAAAAAAAGAUGAAAUAAAAGAGAGAUGACAUCAAUAAUAGAGAAUGCAACAUGCUCUGCAAGAAUGAAGGAAUUAAUUUGAAU
Molecule: unclassified non-coding RNA, 204 nt
Filed under: Hevea brasiliensis (rubber tree)
Lineage: Eukaryota; Viridiplantae; Streptophyta; Magnoliopsida; Malpighiales; Euphorbiaceae
Source: RNAcentral